UACGUAGGUGGCAAGCGUUAUCCGGAUUUACUGGGUGUAAAGGGCGUGUAGGCGGGGACGCAAGUCAGAUGUGAAAACCACGGGCUCAACCUGUGGCCUGCAUUUGAAACUGUGUUUCUUGAGUACUGGAGAGGCAGACGGAAUUCCUAGUGUAGCGGUGAAAUGCGUAGAUAUUAGGAGGAACACCAGUGGCGAAGGCGGUCUGCUGGACAGCAACUGACGCUGAGGCGCGAAAGCGUGGGGAGCUAACAGG
This 253-nucleotide ribosomal RNA is filed under the name uncultured bacterium. RNAcentral describes it as "partial 16S ribosomal RNA". It matches the Rfam family "Bacterial small subunit ribosomal RNA", at positions 524 to 776 of the family's 1533-position model. The record is from RNAcentral.